CCAGCAGCCGCGGUAAUUCCAGCUCCAAUAGCGUAUAUUAAAGUUGUUGCAGUUAAAACGCUCGUAGUCUGAUGUAAUGGGGACUGGUGUGGGGAGCAGCAAUGCUCUUCGCAUCGGUCCUCAUCAACGGGACAGCAAUGUCCCAUUUUACUUUGAGGAAAUUAGAGUGUUUCAAGCAGGCUAUUGCAGGAAUACAUUAGCAUGGAAUAACGAAUGUGUCUAGAAUCUUGGUUAAUUCUAGAAUACGAUUAAUAGGGACAGUUGGGGGGCAUUAGUAUUUAAUUGUCAGAGGUGAAAUUCUUGGAUUUUUUAAAGACUAACGUAUGCGAAAGCAUUUGCCAAGGAUGUUUUCAUUAAUCAAGAACGAAAGU
This 371-nucleotide ribosomal RNA is filed under the name uncultured eukaryote. RNAcentral's name for it is "SSU rRNA". It matches the Rfam family "Eukaryotic small subunit ribosomal RNA", at positions 567 to 990 of the family's 1831-position model. The record is from RNAcentral.